CAUGCUGUAAACGAUGCGGACUAGGUGUGGCGGUGAGGAGCCGCUGUGCCGCAGCCAACGUGAUAAGUCCGCCACCUGGGGAGUACGGCCGCAAGGUUAAAACUCAAAGGAAUUGACGGGGGCCCGCACAAGCAGCGGAGCGUGUGGUUUAAUUCGAGGCUACACGAAGAACCUUACCUGGGCUUGACAUGGCGGUAGUAGCGACCUGAAAGGGGAGCGACCUUCGGGAGCCGUCACAGGUGC
This 243-nucleotide ribosomal RNA is filed under the name uncultured bacterium. RNAcentral's name for it is "partial 16S ribosomal RNA". It matches the Rfam family "Bacterial small subunit ribosomal RNA", at positions 796 to 1041 of the family's 1533-position model. The record is from RNAcentral.